This 1112-nucleotide ribosomal RNA is filed under the name Escherichia coli. Its description in RNAcentral is "bacterial SSU rRNA". It matches the Rfam family "Bacterial small subunit ribosomal RNA", at positions 8 to 1109 of the family's 1533-position model. The record is from RNAcentral. Lineage: Bacteria; Pseudomonadati; Pseudomonadota; Gammaproteobacteria; Enterobacterales; Enterobacteriaceae.
AGAGUUUGAUCAUGGCUCAGAUUGAACGCUGGCGGCAGGCCUAACACAUGCAAGUCGAACGGUAACAGGAAACAGCUUGCUGUUUCGCUGACGAGUGGCGGACGGGUGAGUAAUGUCUGGGAAACUGCCUGAUGGAGGGGGAUAACUACUGGAAACGGUAGCUAAUACCGCAUAACGUCGCAAGACCAAAGAGGGGGACCUUCGGGCCUCUUGCCAUCGGAUGUGCCCAGAUGGGAUUAGCUUGUUGGUGGGGUAACGGCUCACCAAGGCGACGAUCCCUAGCUGGUCUGAGAGGAUGACCAGCCACACUGGAACUGAGACACGGUCCAGACUCCUACGGGAGGCAGCAGUGGGGAAUAUUGCACAAUGGGCGCAAGCCUGAUGCAGCCAUGCCGCGUGUAUGAAGAAGGCCUUCGGGUUGUAAAGUACUUUCAGCGGGGAGGAAGGGAGUAAAGUUAAUACCUUUGCUCAUUGACGUUACCCGCAGAAGAAGCACCGGCUAACUCCGUGCCAGCAGCCGCGGUAAUACGGAGGGUGCAAGCGUUAAUCGGAAUUACUGGGCGUAAAGCGCACGCAGGCGGUUUGUUAAGUCAGAUGUGAAAUCCCCGGGCUCAACCUGGGAACUGCAUCUGAUACUGGCAAGCUUGAGUCUCGUAGAGGGGGGUAGAAUUCCAGGUGUAGCGGUGAAAUGCGUAGAGAUCUGGAGGAAUACCGGUGGCGAAGGCGGCCCCCUGGACGAAGACUGACGCUCAGGUGCGAAAGCGUGGGGAGCAAACAGGAUUAGAUACCCUGGUAGUCCACGCCGUAAACGAUGUCGACUUGGAGGUUGUGCCCUUGAGGCGUGGCUUCCGGAGCUAACGCGUUAAGUCGACCGCCUGGGGAGUACGGCCGCAAGGUUAAAACUCAAAUGAAUUGACGGGGGCCCGCACAAGCGGUGGAGCAUGUGGUUUAAUUCGAUGCAACGCGAAGAACCUUACCUGGUCUUGACAUCCACGGAAGUUUUCAGAGAUGAGAAUGUGCCUUCGGGAACCGUGAGACAGGUGCUGCAUGGCUGUCGUCAGCUCGUGUUGUGAAAUGUUGGGUUAAGUCCCGCAACGAGCGCAACCCUUAUC